This 71-nucleotide transfer RNA is filed under the name Ennucula tenuis. RNAcentral's name for it is "tRNA-Glu". The record is from RNAcentral. Lineage: Eukaryota; Metazoa; Mollusca; Bivalvia; Nuculida; Nuculidae.
GUUACUAUAGUAUAAAAUGCCCGUACAAUAGGUUUUCAUCCUAUAAGUGUAAUAUUAAAUUACUAGUAAUG